GCAGGUUUUUCAUCUUUCUCUCCAACAACUAGUUCUUCAGGUUUCUCUUCAAGUGCCAGUUCUUCAGGUGUUUCCUCCUUUGCCAGCUCUUCAGGUGUUUCCUCCUUUGCCAGCUCUUCAGGUGUUUCUUUAGCUGCCGGUUCUUCAGGUUUCUCUUCAACCUCCGGUUCUUGUGGUAUUUCCUCUACUUGUACUUCAGAUUUCUCCUCAAUUGUUGGUUCUUCAGGUUUCUCUCUAACCGCUGCUGCAUUAGGUUUCUCUUCAUUGGCUGGUUCUUCAGGUUUUUCUUCAACUACCGAUUCUUCAGGAUUUUCCUCAAUGUUUGGAAAGGGAGCGACAUCAUUAUUGGUAUUGCAUGGAAUUUCACUGCCAGUUUUGUCAUUCAAGUCCACAACUAGUAUAUUCUGCAAAAGAGUUUAAUGUUUCACUUAGUCUUUCAAUAAAGAAGCAGAUGCGAAUCAUUACAUAUACAUAACUAAUAACAUGGAUAAACUUUAUGACAGUAGUUGACCCUUACCUUUUCCACAAGAGUUACUUUUGCAGGUUUCUCCUCUUCAAGUGCUGGUUUCUCUUCAAAUGAUAGUUCAUUAGGUGUUUCUUCCCGUGUUGGUUCUUCAUGUGCUUCUUCAGUUACUGGUUUUUCAGGUUUCUCCUCAAUUGUUGGUUCUUCGCUUGUCUUCUCAACUGAUGGUUCCUCAUGCUUCUCUCCCGUUGUUGAUUUUUCGGGUUUCUCUUCAGUUGUCGAUGGUUCAGUUUUUUUCUCAACCGCUGGUUCUUUUGGCUUCUCCAAAACCAUUUCCGAUUUCUCUUCAGUUGGUGGUUCUUCAUGGUUUUUUUCAACUACUGGUUCUUCUCUUUUUUCCUCAACUGAUGCAUAGUCAGCAAUAUCGUUGUUGGUAUUGCUUGGAAUUGCAUUGUCUGUCUUGUCCUUUGAGCUUACAAUUGGCAUAUUCUGCUAGAAAAAUAUAAAGUUUCAUGUAGUCUUUCAACAGAGAAACCAAUGUAAAUUUGUUGCACAUAUAAAGCUAACAAAUAUGAUGGAUAGACUUUGCGAGAGUGUUUAAUACUCACCUUCUCCGGAAGAGCUUCCGUUUCAGGUUCCUCUUCAAUUUCUGCUUUUUCAUCUUUCUCUUCAACAACUAGUUCUUCAGGUGUCUCUUCAACCGUUGAUUCUUCAGGUUUCUCUUCAAGUGUUAGUUCUUGAGGUGUUUCCUCCUUUGCUAGCUCUUCAGGUGUUUCUGUAACUGCCGGUUCUUCAGGUUCCUCUUCAGCCACCGGCUGUUGACGUAUCUCCUCUACUUGUACUUCAGAUUUCUCCUCAAUUGUUGGUUCUUCAGGUUUCUCCUUAACCGCUGGUACAUCAGGUUUAUCCUCAUUGACUGGUUCUUCAACUGCUGAUUCUUCUAGAUUUUCCUCAAUGUCUGGAAAGCGAGCAACAUCAUUAUUGGUAUUGCAUGGAAUUUCAUUUCCAGUUUCGUUAUUCGAGUCUACAAUUAGCAUAUUCUGCAAAAAGAAUUUAAUGUUUCAUUUAGCCUUUCAAUAAAGAAGCAUAUGCGAAUAACAGUACAUGCAUAACUAACAAAAUGGAUAAACUUUGUGAUAGUGCUUGAUCCUUACCUUUGCCAAAAGAGUUACCUUUUCAGGUUUCUCCUCUUCAACGGUUGGUUCUUCAUGUUUCUUUUCAAAUGCUAGUUCCUUGGUUGUUUCUUCCGGUGUUGGUUCCAUAGGUGUUUCUUCAGUUACUUGUUUUUCGGGUUUCUCUUCAAUUAUUGGUUCUUCGAUUGUCUUCUCAACUGAUGGUUCUUCAAGAUUUUCUCCCACUGUUGGUUUUUGGGGUUUCUCUUCUAUUGUUGGUUGUUCAGGAAUUUUCUCAACUGGUGGUUCUGCUGGAUAUUCCAAAACCAUUGAUUCUUCAGAUUUCUCUUCAAUUGAUGGUUCUUCAUGGGUUUUUUCAACUACUGGUUCUUCAAUUUUUUCCUCAACAGAUGCAUAGUCAACAAUAUCAUUAUUGGUAUUGCUUGGAAUUGCAUCGUCUGUCAUGUCCUUUGAGUUUACUUUUGGCAUAUUCUGCAAUAGAGUUUCAUGUAAUCUUUCAACAGAUAAACAGAUGUAAAUUUGUUGCACAUAUAAAGCUAAUAUGGUGGAUAAACUUUGUGACAGUGUUUAAUCCUCACCUUCUCCUGAAGAUCUUCCGCUUCAAGUUCCUCCUCUACAAUUGCAGUUUUUUCCUCUUCCCCUUCAACAACUAGUUCUUCAGGUGCCUCUUCAGCCGUUGAUUCUUCAGGUUUCUCUUCAAGUGCUAGUUCUUCAGGUGUUUCCUCCUUUGCCAGCUCUUCAGGUGUUUCUUUAGAUGCCGAUUCUUCAGGUUUCUCUUCAGCCAUCGGUUCUUGAGGUAUUUCCUCUACUUGUACUUCAUAUUUCUCCUCAAUUGUUUGUUCUUCAGGUUUCUCUUCAGGUUUCUCCUUAACCACUGGUACAUCAGGUUUCUCUUGAUUAACUGGUUCUUUGGGUUUUUCUUCAACAGCCGAAUCUUCAGGAUUUUCCUCAAUGUCUUGAAAGCAAGCAAUAUCUUUAGUGGUAUUGCAUGGAAUUUCACUGCCAGUUUUGUUGUUCGAGUCUACAAUUAGCAUAUUCUGCAAAAGGAAUUUGAUGUUUCAUUUAGCCUUUUAAUAAAGAAGCAGAUGUGAAUAACAUUACAUGCAUAACUUACAAAAUGGAUAAAUUUUGUGACAGUCCUUGACCCUUACCUUUUCAGGUUUCUCCUCUUCAACAGCUGAUUCUUCAUGUUUCUCUUCAAAUGCUAGUUCUCUGGGUGUUUCUUCCCGUAGUGCUUCUUCAUGUGCUUCUUCAGUUACUGGUUUUUCAGGUUUCUCCUCAAUUGUUGGUUCUUUGAUUGUCUCCUCAACAGAUGGUUCUUCAAGCUUCUCUCCCGUUGUUGAUUUUUCUGGUUUCUCUUCAAUUGCUGGUUGUUCAGGAAUUUUCUCAACAGCUGGUUCUUCUGGCUUCUCUAAAACCAUUGAUUCUUCAGCUUUCUCUUCAAUUGAUGGUUCUUCAUGGUUUUUUUCAACUAUUGGUUCUUCAGUUUUUUCCUCAACGGAUGCAUAGUCAACAAUAUCAUUGUUGGUAUUGCUUGGAAUUGCAUCGUCUGUCAUGUCCUUUGAGUUUACUUUUGGCAUAUUCUACAAUAAAGUUUCAUGUAGUCUUUCAAUAGAUAAACAGAUGUAAAUUUGUUGCAACAUAUAAAGCUAAUAUGGUGGAUAAACUUUGUGACAGUGUUUAAUCCUCACCUUCUCCCGAAGAUCUUCCGCUUUAAGUUCCUCCUCUUCAAUUGCUGUUUUUUCAUCUUUCGUUUCAACAACUAGUUCUUCAGGUGCCUCUUCAGCCGUUGAUUCUUCAGGUUUUUCUUCAAGUGCCAGCUCUUCAGGUGUUUCCUCCUUUGCCAUCUCUUCAGGUGUUUCCUCCUUUGCCAGCUCUUCAGGUGUUUCUUUAGCUGCUGGUUCUUCAGGUUUCUCUUCAGCCGCCAGUUCUUGAGGUAUCUCCUUUUCUACUUCAGAUUUCUCCUCAACUGUUGGUUCUUCAGGUUUCUCUUCAUUAACUGGUUCUUUGGGUUUUUCUUCAACAGCCGAAUCUUCAGGAUUUUCCUCAAUGUCUGGAAAGUGAGCAACAUCUUUAUUGGUAUUGCAUGCAAUUUCACUGUCAGUUUUGUCGUUCAAGUCUACAAUUAGCAUAUUCUGCAAAAAGAAUUUGAUGUUUCAUUUAGCCUAUUAAUAAAGAAGCAGAUGUGAAUAACAUUACAUGCAUAACUUACAAAAUGGAUAAACUUUGUGAUGGUCCUUGACCCUUACCUUUCCAGGCUUCUCCUCUUCAACGGCCAGUUCUUGUUUCUCUUCAAAUGCUAGUUCCCUGGGUGUUUCUUCCUGUAUUGGUUCUUCAUGUGCUUCUUCAGGUACUGGUUUUUCAGGUUUCUCCUCAAUUGUUGGUUCUUCGAUUGUCUCCUCAACAGAUGGUUCUUCAAGGUUCUCUCCCGUUGUUGAGUCUUCUGGUUUCUCUUCAAUUGCUGGUUGUUCAGAAAUUUUCUCAACAGCUGGUUCUUCUGGCUUCUCCAAAACCAUUGAUUCUUCAGCUUUCUCUUCAAUUAAAGGUUCUUCAUGGUUUUUUUCAACUACUGUUUCUUCAGUUUUUUCCUCAACGGAUGCAUAGUCAACAACAUCAUUGUUGGUAUUGCUUGGAAUUGCAUCGUCUGUCAUGUCCUUUGAGCUUACUUUUGGCAUAUUCUGCAAUAAAGUUUCAUGUAGUCUUUCAAUAGAUAAACAGAUGUAAAUUUGUUGCACAUAUAAAGCCAAUAUGGUGGAUACACUUUGUGACAGUGUUUAAUCCUCACCUUCUCCUGAAGAUCUUCCGCUUCAAGUUCUUCCUCUUCAAUUGCUGUUUUUUCAUCUCUCUCUUCAACAACUUGUUCUUCAGGUGCCUCUUCAGCCGUUGAUUCUUCAGGUUUCUCUUCAAGCACUAGUUCUUCAGGUGUUUCCUCCUUUGCCAGCUCUUCAGGUGUUUCUUUAGCUGCCAGUUCUUCAGGUUUCUCUUCAGCUGCCGAUUCUUGAGGUAUUUCCUUUACCUGUACUUUAGAUUUCUCCUCAAAUGUUGGUUCUUCAGGUUUCUCCUUAACCGCAGGUACAUCAGGUUUCUCUUCAGCUGCUGGUUUUUGAGGUUUCUCCUCUACUUGUACCUCGGAUUUCUCCUCAACCAUCGGUUCUUCAGGUUUCUCCUCAACCUCUGGUACGUCAGGUUUCUCUUCAUUAACAAGUUCUUCACUUUUUUCUUCAAUAGUUGAUUCUUCAGGAUUUUCCUUAGUGUCUGGAGAGUAAGCAACAUCAUUAUUGGUAUUGCAUGGAAUUUCACUGCCAGUUGUGUCGUUCGACUCUACCAUUGGCAUAUUCUGCAGAAAGAAUUUAAUGUUUCACUUUGCCUUUCAAUAAAGAAGCCGAUGUAAAUCAGAGGACAUACAUAACUAAAAAAGAUGGAUUAACUUUGUGAUAGUGUUUGACUCUUACCUUUUCGAAAAGAGUUAUCUUUUCAGGUUUCUCCUCUUCAACUGUUGGUUCUUCAUGUUUCUCUUCAAAUGCUAGUUCCUCAGGUGUUUCUUCCUGUAUUGGUUCCUCAGGUGUUUCUUCUUCUGUUACUUGCUUUUCAGGUUUCUCCUCAAUUGUUGGUUCUUUGAUUGUCUCCCCAAUCGAUGGUUCUUCAAGCUUUCCCCCCCCUGUUGGUUUUUCAGGUUUCUCUUCAAUUUUCGGUUGUUCAGGUAUUUUCUCAACUGCCGGUUCUUCUGCCUUCUCCAACACCAUUGAUUCUUCAGAUUCCUCUUCAAUUGAUGAUUCUUCAUGGGUUUUUUUAACUACUGACUCUUCUGUGUUUUCCUCAACUGAUGCAUAAUCAGCAAUGUCGUUGUCGGUAUUGCUUGGAAUUGCAUUGUCUAUCUUGUCCUUUGAGUUUAAUUUUGGCAUAUUCUGCAAUAAAGUUUCAUGUAGUCUUUCAAUAGAUAAACAGAUGUAAAUUUGUUGCACUCAUAAAGCUAAUAUGAUGGAUAAAAUUUGUGACAGUGUUUAAUCCUCACCUUCUCCUGAAAAACUUCUGUUUCAAGUUCCUCCUCUUCAAUUGCUGCUUUUUCAUCUUUCUUCUCUACAACUAAUUCUUCAGGUUCCUCCUCAACGGUUGAUUCUUCAGGCUUUUCUUCAAGUACUAGUUCUUCAGGUGUUUCCUCCUUUGCUAGCUCUUCAGGUGUUCCUUUAGCUGCCGGUUCUUCUGGCUUCUCUUCAGCCUCCGGUUUUUGAGAUAUCUCCUCUACUUGAACUUUAGAUUUCUCAUUAAUUGUUGGUUCUUCAGGUUUCACCUCAACCGCUGGUACAUCAGAUUUCUCCUCAUUAACUGGUUCUUCAGGUUUUUCUUCAACAGCCAAUUCUUCAGGAAUUUCCUCAAUGUCUGGAAAGUGAACAACAUUAUUCUUCGUAUUGCAUGGAAUUUCACUGCCACUGUUGUCGUUCGAGUCUAUAAUUAGCAUAUUCUGCAUAAAGAAUUCAAUGUUUUACUUAGCCUUUCAAUAAAGAAGCAGGUGUGAAUCACAAUACAUGCAUAUCUAACAAAAUGGAUAAACUUUGUGAUAGUGCUUGGCCCUUACCUUUUCUAAAAGAGUUUCCUUUUCAGGUUUCUCCUCUUCGAUGGCUGGUUCUUCAUGUUUCUCUUCAAAUGGUAGUUCAUUUGGUGUUUCUUCUCGUGUUGGUUCUUCAGGUGCUUCCUCAGUUACUGGUUUUACAGGUUUCUCUUCAACUGUUAGUUCUUCGAGUGUCUCCUCCAUCGAUGGUUCCUCAAGUUUCUCUCUUGCUGCUGGUUUUUCAGAUUUAUCUUCAACUAUCGGUUGUUCAGGUUUAUUCUCAAUCGCUGGUUCUGCAGGCUUCUCCGAAACCGCUGAUUCUUCAGAUUUCUCUUCAAUUGGUGAUUCUUCGUGUUUUUUUUCAACUACGGGUUCUUCAGUUUUUUCCUCAACUGAUGCAUAAUCAGCACUAUCAUUGUUGGUAUUGCAUGGAGUUGCAUUUUCUGUCUUGUUCUUUGAGCCUACAAUUGGUGAAUUCUGCAAAAAAUUUAAAAUUUCAUUUAGUCUUUAAAUAGAUAAACAGAUGUAAAUUCAUUGCACAUAUAAAGCUAAUAUGAUAGAUAAACUUUGUGACAGUGUUUAAUCUUCACCUUCUCCUGAAGAGCUUCCAUUUCUAGUUCCUCCUCUUCACUUGCUGGUUUUUCAUCUUUCUCUUCAACAACUAGUUCUUCAGGUGUCUUUAUAGUCUUUGAUUCUUCAGGUGCUUCUUUAUCUGCCCGUUCUUCAGGUUUCUCUUCAGCCACCGGUUCUUGAGGUAUAUUCUCUUGUACUUCAGAUCUCUCCUCAAUUAUUGGUUCUGCAGGUUUCUCUUCAUUGUCUGGUUCUUUGGGUUUUUCUUCGACAGCCAAUUCUUCAAGAUGAUUUUCCUCAAUGUCUGGAAAGUGAGCAACAUCAUUAUUG
Molecule: long non-coding RNA, 7042 nt
Filed under: Capsicum annuum
Lineage: Eukaryota; Viridiplantae; Streptophyta; Magnoliopsida; Solanales; Solanaceae
Description: long non-coding RNA (CANN_LNC003850)
Source: RNAcentral